RNAcentral lists this ribosomal RNA (401 nucleotides) under uncultured bacterium. RNAcentral describes it as "bacterial SSU rRNA". It matches the Rfam family "Bacterial small subunit ribosomal RNA", at positions 504 to 905 of the family's 1533-position model. The record is from RNAcentral.
CGUGCCAGCAGCCGCGGUAAUACGGAGGGGGUUAGCGUUGUUCGGAAUUACUGGGCGUAAAGCGCACGUAGGCGGAUUAGAAAGUUGGGGGUGAAAUCCCGGGGCUCAACCCCGGAACUGCCUCCAAAACUGCUAGUCUAGAGUUCGAGAGAGGUGAGUGGAAUUCCGAGUGUAGAGGUGAAAUUCGUAGAUAUUCGGAGGAACACCAGUGGCGAAGGCGGCUCACUGGCUCGAUACUGACGCUGAGGUGCGAAAGUGUGGGGAGCAAACAGGAUUAGAUACCCUGGUAGUCCACACCGUAAACGAUGAAUGCCAGUCGUCGGGUAGUAUACUAUUCGGUGACACACCUAACGGAUUAAGCAUUCCGCCUGGGGAGUACGGUCGCAAGAUUAAAACUCAAA